UUAUCACACCACUCCAGGAGACUCUUAGAGGCAAUGCUGCAAAUUGACCCUCAGAGAAGGUGGACAUUACAUAAAAUCCUGAAGUACAAAUGGUUGGAGAAACCAUCUCUGAGUGAAGAACUUCCGAAUUCCACCGUAGGAAGCUCUGACAUAAACCCCAUAAUAAUAUUGGAUCCUGAAGAAGAACCACGAACCACAUAGUGGGAAACUUUUAAAAACUGCUUCUGCUGUUACAAAUAAUAUCAUCUGGGGAUCCAGCAGCAAUAAACAUCUAGACAGGAGUUAAUUACCACCCAGUCCUGGAGCAUCAAUUCCCUUGUCCAUCUGGCCCAGGAGCUAAUAUCAUCUGUCCCUGGUGCAACUCAGCCCUCACCCUUACCAAAAAUAUCUGGCCCAGAAUCUAAUACCAUCUGACCCUGGUGCGACUCAGCCCUCACCCUCGCCAAAAUCAUCUGACCCAGGAGCUAAUACCAUCUGGCCCUCUUGCAACUCAGCCCUCACCCUAACAUCUGGCUCAGGAGCUAAUACCAUCUGGCCCUGAUGCAACUCAGCCCUCACCCUCGCCAAAAACAUCUGACCCAGAAGCUAAUACCAUCUGGCCCUGGUACAUCUCAGCCCUCACCCUCGCCAAAAACAUCUGACCCAGAACCUAAUACCAUCUGGCCCUGGUACAUCUCAGCCCUUACCCUCACCAUAACAUCUGGCCCAGGAGCUAAUAUAUCUGGCCCUGGUACAUCACAGCCCUCAACCUUGCCUAUAACAUCUGGCUCAGGAGCUAAUACCAUUUGGCCCUGGUACAUUACAGCCCUCAGCCUUGUCUAUAAACAUCUGGCCCAGGAGCUAAUACCAUCUGGCCCUAACACUUGCCUAAUAACAUCUGGCCCAGGAGCUUAUGUACUUAUGGCCCUGGAAAUCCUUCAUCCUCCUCAUCUAUGCCAACUACAAUCUAGCCCAGGAGCUUAUGUACUUAUGGCCCUGGAAAUCCUUCAUCCUCCUCAUCUAUGCCAACUACAAGCUAGCCUAGGAGCUUAGGUAACAUCUGGCCCUGACCUUCAUCCUCUUCAUCUACACCAACUGUGACUG
Molecule: long non-coding RNA, 1083 nt
Organism: Bombina bombina (fire-bellied toad)
Lineage: Eukaryota; Metazoa; Chordata; Amphibia; Anura; Bombinatoridae
Exons: 4
Source: RefSeq, a predicted model, not a curated record